Molecule: unclassified non-coding RNA, 252 nt
Filed under: plant metagenome
Description: partial contains small subunit ribosomal RNA and internal transcribed spacer 1
Rfam family: Eukaryotic small subunit ribosomal RNA (bases 1-51)
Source: RNAcentral
GGAAGUAAAAGUAACAAGGUUUCCGUAGGUGAACCUGCGGAAGGAUCAUUUAAUUCGAUCAUAACACGCCAAUCAUGGUAACCUAUAUGUGUUAUCCCCCGGCCCCGGGUCCGCCUGGGGAAUCGCGGGGGGUUGUUUUUACACAACCGCCAAAGCGUUUAAUACGAUAUACAAGUCGGGGAUCCCGUCGACCUGGUCGCGGGCCUCGCAACUAACCAAGAAAAACCCCUAACAACGGAUGUCUUGGCUCUC